Molecule: long non-coding RNA, 586 nt
Filed under: Lathyrus oleraceus (garden pea)
Lineage: Eukaryota; Viridiplantae; Streptophyta; Magnoliopsida; Fabales; Fabaceae
Description: Pisum sativum (pea) long non-coding RNA (PSAT_LNC012245)
Source: RNAcentral
GAGGAUGAAGGGUGCGUUUGGAGUUGGUUUGAAAGAGUGGAAGCAGACGGUGGUAAUAUCAGAUGUGUGGUGUUGUUCACAUAGGGAGUGUGAAUUGCGGUAGUGAUGGAGUUUUAGGAAGAAGAACAGAGGAUGGACUUCGCGGUGGUUUGGAGGUUGAGACAAAAGGGUUUGUCGGAGCGAGGACGUGAGGCGGAUGGUGAUUUUGGGUUGUUGGUGGAGUUUAAUGAAUUUUGUGGUGGAGAUGUUGUAAGAGGAUCGGAAGGAAUUUUGUUGGUUGAAGAAGAGUAUUGGUGGUUGUAUAUGAAGAAGAAUAGGUUUAUGUUCUCUUUUUUCUUUUUUUUUUCUUUUUUUUUUAUUUCGGACCUCCCCUCCCUCUUUUAUGACCGUUUUAGUGAGUGAGAGAGAGAAAGAGAGAGAGGGAGAGAGAGAGAGAGAAAAAGCCUCUCUCUUUUUGUUUUAUCUGGGAGCGUGAAGAUCUAUGAGACAGGAAAAUUUGUCAAGCCAAAGGAUGUGUUGUCACUAUCUCCCUUAUUGCCACACGUUAUCCACCCAUUUCCAGCCACAUGAGGAUGUGUGGUGUUCU